GCGGUCGUGGUGGAACUGGCAGACACACUAUCUUGAGGGGGUAGCGCCCACAAGGCGUGCGGGUUCGAAUCCCGCCGACCGCACCA
Molecule: transfer RNA, 86 nt
Filed under: Cohnella laeviribosi
Lineage: Bacteria; Bacillati; Bacillota; Bacilli; Caryophanales; Paenibacillaceae
Also listed under: 1 other name
Description: tRNA-Leu
Rfam family: tRNA
About the family: Transfer RNA (tRNA) molecules are approximately 80 nucleotides in length. Their secondary structure includes four short double-helical elements and three loops (D, anti-codon, and T loops).
Source: RNAcentral